Long non-coding RNA from Lampris incognitus (smalleye Pacific opah), 323 nucleotides. RefSeq lists it as uncharacterized. The record is from RefSeq and is a predicted model, not a curated record. The transcript is spliced from 3 exons. NCBI's taxonomy places the organism in Eukaryota, Metazoa, Chordata, Actinopteri, Lampriformes, Lampridae.
AUUUUGGGAAAACGUUCUGGUCAAUGUUAGCCUGCAGUACCUGACGCCGCGGGAGAGAGUGUUUUUUUUAACUCUGACUGUCGUGCCAUGCUGCAUCUUUCUCUACCUUAACGGGGUCAUGUUGUUCACCCUACGAAGUCGGCUGGUGUUCCGUGAGACCUCCCGCUACAUUCUGCUCUACAACCUCCUCCUCUCAGACACCAUUCACCUGACACUGAAUUUGUGUCUCUUCAGGCUCUUUGGGUAUCUCUCUGCCAUGUGCCCAUUAAAAUCGGUGGAUGCUGGAAGGGGACGGGAUACAUGCACUGCGCUGAAUCGGUCGG